Molecule: long non-coding RNA, 2529 nt
Filed under: Musa acuminata (dwarf banana)
Lineage: Eukaryota; Viridiplantae; Streptophyta; Magnoliopsida; Zingiberales; Musaceae
Description: long non-coding RNA (MACU_LNC006251)
Source: RNAcentral
CUUCUUAAGGGCUUUGGUUGAUGAACUUUUUUUUUCAUAAUCUUUUUUAUCUUGAUCGAGAGAAUGUCAUAUUGCUCGGUUCUGAUGGCGAGUCGGUGCUUGUCUUCAUUGUUCUUGUUCAUGAUCGUUGUUGGAUUUUUAUUCGGUUUUCAUAUAUUUUUACUGCUUUGAUGGACGCAACUGAGGACGUAUAUUUAUGUGAUUGGGUGUUAUUCGCUCGAUUCUGAUGGCGAGUCGAUGUUCUUCUUUACGCCUUUUGUUUAUGAUCAUUGCUGAAUCUUUAUUCCGUUUUCAUUUAUCUUUCUUUUCUUGAUGGACACAGCUGACGACGUGUCUUUCUGUAAUUGGAUAUUAUUCGCUGGAUUCUGAUGGCGAGUCGGUGUUCGUCUUUAAGGCUUUUGUUUAUGGUCGUUGCUGGCUCUUUAUUCGAGUUUGAUGUAUCUUUCUCGCCUUGAUGGAUACAACUGAGGUCGUAAAUUUCUGUAGCUGGAUGUUAUUCUGUUGACAUCGAUGGCGAGUUGGUGUUCUUCUUUAGGGCUCUUGUUUAUGAUCGCUUAUCGAUCUUUGUUCGAUUUUCGUAUAACUUCUUCGCCUUGAUGGAUACAACUGAGGACGCAGAUUUCUGUAAUUGGAUGUUAUUCGCUCGAUCUGAUGGCGAGUCGGUGUUCUUCUUAGGGCUUUUGUUUAUGAUCGUUACUGGAUCUUUAUUCGGUUUUCAGAUAUCUUUCUCGCCUUGAUGGAUACAACUGAGGUCGUAAAUUUCUGUAACGGGAUGCUAGUCUGUUGACAUCGAUGGCGAGUCGGCGAUUUGCUUUAGGACUCUUGUUUAUGAUCGCUGAUGGAUCUUUAUUCGGUUUUCAUAUAUCUUCCUUGCCUUGAUGGAUACAACUGAGGACGUAGAUUUCUGCGAUGGGAUGUUUUUCGCUCGAUCGGAUGGCGAGUUGGUGUUCUUGUUUAGGGGUUUUGUUUAUGAUUUUGCUGGAUCUUUAUUCGGUUCAUAUUAUCUUCUUUUGCCUUGAUGGAUACAACUGAGGUCGUGAAUUUCUGUAACGGGAUGUGAUGGCGAGUCGGUGUUCCUCUUCAGGGCUCUUGUUUAUGAUCCUUCUUGGAUCUUGAUUCGGGUUUUAAUAUAUCUUUCUUGCCUGGAUGGGUACCACUGAGAUCAUAGAUUUUUUGUAAUGGAAUAUAUCGGUCGAUUUCGAUGGCGAGUAGCUCUUCUUUAGGGCUUUUGUUUAUGUUCGUUCUUGGAUCUUUAUUCUUUUUUCAUACGUCUUUCCUGCCUUGAUAAUUACUACUGAGGUCAGAGAUUCCUGUUAUGAAAUAUUAUUCGCCAGAUUUUGAUGGUGUCUUGGUGUUCUUCUUUAGGGCUUUGGUUGAUGAUAGUUCUUUGAUAUUUUUGGUUUUCGGUUACCUUUUCUGCCUUGAUGGAUAUAUCUGAUGUCAUGGACUUGUGUAGUGGAACGUUGUUUCUCAUUUUUGAUGGCAUGUCUGUCUUCUUGUUCAGGUCUUCUAUUGAUGAUUGUUCUUGGAUCUUUAUUUGGUUUUCAGGAUACAUUUGAGGUCAUAGAUUUCCGUAAUUGUAUAAUAUUCGCUUAAUUUUGGUGGGUCGGUGUUCUUCCUUAUUUGGGACCUUAAAACAUUGUUAUUGUUAUUGGUGUUCUUCUUAGGGCGUUGGUUGAUGAUCGGUAUCUGUCCUUUCGCACUCGAUUGUUAUAACUGAGGUAGUAGAUUUCUGUAGUGGAACAUUAUGCUUGGGAAGUUUGCAACAUUCUUGCAUCUGUUUGUUGUAGGGUUCUCUCCGAUGAGAAAACACUAAAUGCGUAACAGUAAUGCCUUUUUAUUUUCCUUUCUUGGAAAUUUCUUGAUCAUUUCACCCAAUCAGCUUUUUCUUUUCCUGUUUGAAUUGUUUGCAUCUCAUGUUGUGAUCAAUUAAGAUUACAAGUUUUGUAUAUACAUUAUAUCUGUAUGUAUAUCCUUCUAGAUUUUUGUAUCUUUAUGUAUUGUUUUUUAUUUCUUGAAGUUUGUGAAAUUUGCCUCUUUGGUAGUUGAAGUUGAACUAUGGCUCUUGAUGCAUAUUGUCUCUCUCGUACUAGAUGUUGAUGGAAGCAUAUUAUUUCCUCAUCUCUUUAACAAUCUGUUUAUUGUAAAACAAUUGGAUUGAGAGCUGAAAGAAAAUAACAUGGACUAAAGUGAUGUGGGAAUCAUGAGCUCAACUUGAGCUUUAACUGUCGAGUGUCUCAUGGGAACAAACCCAUGCCGUUAUGCGUUUGGGCGGACCUUUAUCUCGAUCACUUUCAUUCUUUUCACCCUCAUUUUUUUUUUAGUUCAGAUGAUAUAUUGGAUUUUGUUUUGCUUUCGGUAUAAUUUUGUUUGGUUAGUAUUGUAUAUAUGUCUUUGCAUGUCUCGAGCUUUGGCAUCUGUUAGCUGAGAAAGUUGCAAAACCUUGCUUGUGUUCAACGAAGGACAAGAGUAAUGGAUGUUCUCGGAUAGCAAAGGACACUCGAGUAUCUUUUGCAGCCAACCAAAACU